This 727-nucleotide long non-coding RNA is filed under the name Androctonus crassicauda. The record is from RNAcentral. Lineage: Eukaryota; Metazoa; Arthropoda; Arachnida; Scorpiones; Buthidae.
GUAGAGAAAUAGCGGAAUUAUUAUGCCAUAAUUCAUACUACAGGUACAAAGGAAAUUUUUAUAAACAAAUGCAUGGCGUACCAAUAGGAAGCCCAAUGGCGGGAGUACUGGUGGAGUUAGUACUCCGCUCUGUAGAAGAAACCUUAGCAAACAACUUAAUUAAAGAAGCGGCCCUAUACACCCGAUAUGUAGACGAUAUAUUUACAAUAUGGGCAGAAGACAGCAAAGUAGAGGAACUGCAAAAUGUACUUACGAAAGAGAGCAAACAAACUGAACAUUGAACAAGUGGAGAGGAAGGAAGUACACUUUCUUCAUGUACAGAUCGUCUACCAGCCCUAGCAAUAUCAACGACAGUAUACAGAAAACCCGCAAGUAAAGAUAUAAUCAUACUGAGAUGGUCCAACGACCGGUGGAAAUAUAAGAAGGCAGCCAUUCAGUCCUAUAUUGAGAGAGCUGUGAUAAAGAAGACCAAUUAAACCUGGAAAUUGAGAAAAUAAACAAAAUAGCACAAAAGCAUGGUUACUCAAGGAACGUAGUAAGCAAGACAUAUGCAGAAGUUAAAAGAAAAAGGGAGAUAGGUAAAAAUAUAAAGACAAACGAACGCCAAGCAGAGAAUGAAUAUAACGCACAAGAAGACAAAGACAGAUACGAAGUUCUUACAGACGAAUUGGGAAGUAUGCGGACGGUACAAAAACUGCUUAAACAAAAAAGAAAGAAACCAGCCUAC